GAUCCUGGCUCAGGACGAACGCUGACGGCGCGCCUAACACAUGCAAGUCGAACGGAGCUGAGAGAAGCUUGCUUUUCUUAGCUUAGUGGCGAACGGGUGAGUAACGCGUGAGUAACCUGCCCUGGAGUGGGGGACAACAGUUGGAAACGACUGCUAAUACCGCAUAAGCCCACGAUCCGGCAUCGGAUUGAGGGAAAAGGAUUUAUUCACUUCAGGAUGGACUCGCGUCCAAUUAGCUAGUUGG
Molecule: ribosomal RNA, 244 nt
Filed under: uncultured bacterium
Lineage: Bacteria
Description: partial 16S ribosomal RNA
Rfam family: Bacterial small subunit ribosomal RNA
Source: RNAcentral